CCUACGGGAGGCAGCAGUCGAGAAUCAUUCACAAUGGGGGAAACUCUGAUGGUGCGACGCCGCGUGGGGGAAUGAAGGUCUUCGGAUUGUAAACCUCUGUCAUGUGGGAGCAAAUUAAAAAGAUAGUACCACAAGAGGAAGAGACGGCUAACUCUGUGCCAGCAGCCGCGGUAAUACAGAGGUCUCAAGCGUUGUUCGGAAUCACUGGGCGUAAAGCGUGCGUAGGCUGUUUCGUAAGUCGUGUGUGAAAGGCGCGGGCUCAACCCGCGGACGGCACAUGAUACUGCGAGACUAGAGUAAUGGAGGGGGAACCGGAAUUCUCGGUGUAGCAGUGAAAUGCGUAGAUAUCGAGAGGAACACUCGUGGCGAAGGCGGGUUCCUGGACAUUAACUGACGCUGAGGCACGAAGGCCAGGGGAGCGAAAGGGAUUAGAUACCCGAGUAGUC
This 446-nucleotide ribosomal RNA is filed under the name uncultured bacterium. RNAcentral's name for it is "partial 16S ribosomal RNA". It matches the Rfam family "Bacterial small subunit ribosomal RNA", at positions 338 to 795 of the family's 1533-position model. The record is from RNAcentral.